Molecule: non-coding RNA, 29 nt
Filed under: Rattus norvegicus (Norway rat)
Lineage: Eukaryota; Metazoa; Chordata; Mammalia; Rodentia; Muridae
Source: RNAcentral
UCCUUGGUGUGAGAGGAAAAGUCUCUAGA